ACCGCUCAAAACUCUCCCCUGAUCUUUUCAUCGUGUGUGACUGUAGAGGCACUAUCUCUUCACCAGUGCCUAGCCAUAGUGCUGCUAGAGCUCGUCAGCGCACUCUGCUCCCCUGGCGCUGCUCUAGGUUCAGUCGGCGUCUUCCUCACGUUGCUGGUCGGCAGAGCUCGCCUGGCUUCAACCUCCGCCCUGCCCUGCUUGACCCCACUCGCCCAUCCCUGUUCCCGACGCCCGAGCUCACCUCAGCUCCGUUGUGCCCCUGUGUUCAGCCUCCUUCCUCCAUCAGCGGACGUGCUCGGUCUCAGCCGCGCCCCUGCACCCACCCUUGCCGGUGACGGCUGCUGCGAGCGCCCCUUCAUUCUCCCCAGCCUCGCUGUGGCCAGCAACUUCAAAUCCAUGGGUGAGCCAGCCUCUUCACCUUGCCGCGCGCUGGGAGCCUCUCUCUGCUCGACCCGGUGUGGUGCUCUGGCCGUGCGUCCACUCCACUACGACGUCGAGCCUCCCUGCUGCCCGCAACUAUCACAUUAGCCAUCGUGGCGUCAUUAUUUCCUGCUGCGCCGCGACAUCGUCAAGCUCCGGUGCUUAGCGUCGAAGUCGCUGCGCCCUUGUCGCUCUGGCUUCCUUUGUCUUCACGUGGUGUGUGGCGGUCGUGUCCAAAUCCAUGGCAUCAAUGUCUGCAUCCCUAGCAUCGUCGUCAUUUCAGCAGCUUGUUGCACCUUGCGUUCACGCCGGAAGAUGAAAGGAAAGCGCCAGUGCAACGCUCGUCAAGUAUAAAUGCGUCGUCGAUUUCGUGGUUUCAAAUUGGAUUUAGCUUUGGUAAGCUAAUUUAUUAUUUUUGUUAGCCGGUUUGAUGAAUGGCUUGGCUAGGUGUAUUAGUCGUGAUGAUCUUGUGACUAUAUUUAGUGUUGUUCAACCACAUCGUUUCAUGCAGUGAGGUGAUUGUGAGGUGGUCGCGUUAGGUGUUGAAGUCUAGAUUUUAAAUAUAGAUUUACGCAAAGAAUAUUAGUAGAUAUAUAUGCGAUAUGAUUGUGUUAACGUUUGUGACAUAUUUGCGUCGUAUGAAAUAUAGGUUUAAGAUUCCAUCUAUGGAAAGAGUGCUUCAUUGGGUAUAUAUAUAAGCCACGUAUAUUUAACUAGGUUUUAUAUGCGUGAUAAGUGGUGAUAUUAAGUAUUUGUGAAAUACUUUGUUCAUGUAGUAAUGUGAUAGAAUCCAAUAUUGUUAAAUCGAUGCCUCGUGUCAUGUGUCCAGUAUACUGCUUCCUUGAUGCUUGCGCAAAGCUUUGUUGGUUAAGAAAUUAAUUAACUUGUUGCCAUCCUUAUCCUGAUUAUUUGGUGUCUGAAGUUAGUAAGUCGAGAUAUUAUAAUUAGUUGGUAGGAUAGGCAAGCGAGUCUGGAAAAGAAGUUUAGACACUUAAUUAAAUUGAUUCUAUCCAUCAUAUGAAUGUUUGGUGUCCAAAAAUGGCGAGUCUACAUUUGUUAGCCCUUUGGUGUAUACUCUAGGCGGUAAAGAAAAUAUAGAGAUCAUACAUAGUUGUGGUUUCUUGUUUGAAUUAGGUUCAGUUGAGCAAGAAGAAUGUGAGUGUUGUACUUAGUAUGUCUAGUUUAUUAUUCCUUGAUAUUUGUGUUAGAUCCGGGUUAAGCUCGAGGAACGUGAUUGUUAUCCUUAGUAAGUUAUAGAAUCCUAGUGUUUACUUGUGAUUAUUUCAAUGUCAUGGCAUUAGGUGUUUAACUUGUUACUGUGUGUAAUUGUUUAGUCUUUUCUUAUUUAGUCUUUUCUUAUUCAUCCUUAUAUCCAUUCAGUUGCACCAUGCAUCUCAUUAGGUACGCUAGCUGAGAAUCGUACGAAGCAAAGGACAUGGACCAAAGCAGACCACAAGACGAUGUCGGCCGGUGAAUUGGAAAAAAUGGACAGACUGAACGAGUGCCAAGACAAAGGAUGAUCGUCAAGUGAUCGUCAUCUAACAAACACUAACCUAGUGUUAUUCUAGACAAGCCCCGGUGCAUUCACCUCUUUCCUUAUUGUUUACAAUAUUUUAUCACCUUGAAUGAUGCAUUAGGUGAUAGGAGUUGUGUGAUCAAACAGUUGAUGCAUUUCCUUCCUUAAUUAAACAACCCUAAUAACUGUUUUAUGAAAAUUUAGUGAUGCUUAGCCCUGCUUAUUAAUUUAGGAUUGUUUUUAAAAGAUGAUGUGUAACACGGGAUAUGAGAGUUUGUGAAAUAAAAGGGCUUGUGAUGAUGAAGCCAUUGCGGCCGCGAUGAUUUCAUCAUUCAAUUAGGGUACCUCUCUCAGGUAUCAAGUUUUGGGAAAUAAUAUGAAAUGUAGACCAGACGUUGAGCAGGAAAGUUCACCCGUCUGUGUCGAUUAAAUACCGUUCAAUGUAAGCCUGUUGUGGUGGAGACUUUGCAACUAGCCACAUGCUCCGGUAAGCUUGAACUCUGCUAUUUCAAACGUGAAAAGACAACCGCGCACUAGGCGUGAGAGAUGGUGGGAGUAGCGUGUACCCCUUGGCAAGAGGCUGGAUGGCGGAGUAUUGUGCUCCCGGGUAGCGCGGGCCGGUUCACGUUUGUCACACUCGGAAUUAAGGGACAAAGCCGGGUGCAACUCAUAUAUGCACCAAGGAAGACAACACAUAUAAUAAUAGAGUAUAUAGAGAUAAAUGUCACAAUAUAAUCAGAGUACUUAUUACAUAGCGGAAGUCUUACAAAAUAAAAGAUAAGUAUAAAACGAACUAAAGUCCAUCCUUGGCGCCAUAGAGUCAACUGGGAGACGGCACCUAGAUAAAGUCAAACUCCUCGUUGUCUGGCUCCUCUUGAACCUCCUGUUCUUCUCCUGUGGGGGGUGUGAGACAGCAAGGGUGAGC
Molecule: long non-coding RNA, 2861 nt
Filed under: Zea mays
Lineage: Eukaryota; Viridiplantae; Streptophyta; Magnoliopsida; Poales; Poaceae
Description: long non-coding RNA (ZMAY_LNC001783)
Source: RNAcentral